GCCCAUUUAAAUACAAAGAACUCGCCUGAUCCCAUCUAAUCUCAGAAGCUAAGCAGGGUUGGGCCUGGUUAGUACUUGGAUGGGAGACCACUUAAGAAGACCAGGUGCUGUAGGCG
RNAcentral lists this ribosomal RNA (116 nucleotides) under Pteropus alecto (black flying fox). Lineage: Eukaryota; Metazoa; Chordata; Mammalia; Chiroptera; Pteropodidae. The record is from RNAcentral.